GCAAAAUCUACAAGGUUAACAUCAGUUGAAAGUUAAUAUGUGUAUACCAAAGGGUAUUUCAAAAUAAAUGCAAAAUCAAGGCAGAAAUACCAUUUUCCAUUUUUUUGAAAAGUCAUAUAAACUUAAUUUCUGUCAAGAGACUUAAGUCUACUGAUGGCAGUCACUGUGUUCAUUGUUAUUCCAGUUCUUUAGUAAUUCUGUUUAAACUGUGAUUUUUUUAUUGUUUUGGUGCAAUAUUUUAUUAUCCUUUAACCUCAGGAUAUUCAGACCAACAAGAUUGUGUUGCUGCUAAAAGACUGAGCAGUGUUUUUACUGUCCCCCUGUCCCCUCCUAGUCACAGUCACAUGUUUGCUUGUUUUUACUUUAAUCUGUUGGUUUUGUGAGCUGAGAGCAUUUCUGUACACUAAGUAGAAGGGAGGUAGGGGUUCCCAUGAUAGAGAUUUUGGACCAGCCCAGUACUUUGGUUUUCUCCAUGUCCUGAGGGUUAGAUCUGGAAACCCUGGUGCUUUCCAUGCAGAAUACUGUAGGACGAUUAGCUUUUCUUUCAGUCAGUAUAUUCCGUUAGAAAUAGAAAAGUUUUAAGGUUAAAUUUUGUAUGUAAAAAUUAGCUGGACAUUUGAUCAGGGAUUUUUAUACAAACAUUAGGUAAAUGUACGCUUUUCACCCUUGGGUAUACCUCUCUUCUCUGUAAUCACAUAAGCAUCUUAAGCCGUUAUUUCAUCUUUUAAGCCACUGAAUGAAAAUCACAAUACAAACUGUUUUACCAAUAAUUGUGGUACUGAAAUUGUCACAAAUCUUUUUUCCCUGCUUUGGUUUUUUGGUGAUCUUUUAUUUUGCUUUGUUUUUGUGUGUUAGCUAUGUGCUGUCUAAACAGUUUUACUUUAAAAAAAGAUCACCUUCAGCUAUUUCUUGACCUCUGAGUUGCAGUUUACAUGUUUUAUCAAGACAUUUUCCAUCUCCAUGAUACCAAAACAAAGUAAAAGAAACAAAACAAAAUGGUAUGGAGGAAGAGAAAGUUUAAUUAUCUAUCUGGCUGCAAGUAGAAAAGCAACUGCUUACUGGAAUCCUUCAGUAGGAUCGUUUUGUCACCUUUUUUAAAGAAAUGAAGUGCACCUACCAAAUUAAAACAAAGCUGAUUUUUUAGCACUUACGAGAAUAGCUAAAAGGUAUGAUUUGCCUUAUUGAAUUGAUAUUGGUAUGUCUGACCUUAAGCAGUAGGUUGAAACUGCAUACCUUUAUAUAAUCAAAUUAUUUGAUGAAGGUAGAAGAUUCUACAUUGGAACAGAGAAUACUUGGGAAUGAAGGUAAUAAUUUAGCUGCUAUUUGCUUGUUUAUUCUCCUCUUGCUUAGUUUGCAAAGAAACUGUGGCCUUAGAAUUUUCUUUUUGAUGCAAAAAUUUUGAAAUUGAGAAAGUGCAUCUUUUGGCACACAAAAUUCUUCCAUGGGCAGAACUUUACUUUCAUGUUUUUGUUUUGCACAAUAAGAAACUCAAUAGGCAGGGGUUAUGUUUUUGAUAAGUUAACUAUGAAAGCUUUUUAUUUUUAUUAUAAAAAUGUAACAGUUUAACCCGGGGGGGGGUGGGGAGAUUGUAUUUUGUACUGUUGUCUGAACCCCAUGGGUUCCUUUUGUUAAUAAAAUGAUUACACUG
This is a long non-coding RNA of Phocoena sinus (vaquita), 1648 nucleotides long. Lineage: Eukaryota; Metazoa; Chordata; Mammalia; Artiodactyla; Phocoenidae. The record is from Ensembl.